This 23-nucleotide non-coding RNA is filed under the name Arabidopsis thaliana (thale cress). The record is from RNAcentral. Lineage: Eukaryota; Viridiplantae; Streptophyta; Magnoliopsida; Brassicales; Brassicaceae.
UUGCAGGGACCUUGCAAGUUUUU